Bradysia coprophila is the source of this 276-nucleotide long non-coding RNA. The record is from RefSeq and is a predicted model, not a curated record. Lineage: Eukaryota; Metazoa; Arthropoda; Insecta; Diptera; Sciaridae.
UCUGUAAAUGAAAAUGAAUUAGUCGUCUUUGUUCAAAAUUUUGUAUAAAUUUUCAAUUUUAUUCGUUCAAAUUACAUGUAAUAAGCAGACAUGUCUUUCCAACCAUACCGUCUCCAACGGUGGUUAUUUUCAGCGGUCGUAGGCUUGCCAUUUUGUUAGGUAUACAUGAUUCAUUAGAUUUUCGGUUGAUAAUAAUUGAUAGGUCGAAUUCAACUUUCACAUUUAUUUACGUUUUAGGUUUUAGUUUUAAAAAUCCACUUAAAUUCAGGUUUUGAU